GUGAUUAUAGUUCAGUUGGUUAGAGCGUCAGAUUGUGGUUCUGAAUGUCGUGGGUUCGAGUCCCACUAAUCACCCCU
Molecule: transfer RNA, 77 nt
Filed under: Bacteroides sp. An322
Lineage: Bacteria; Pseudomonadati; Bacteroidota; Bacteroidia; Bacteroidales; Bacteroidaceae
Description: tRNA-His
Rfam family: tRNA
About the family: Transfer RNA (tRNA) molecules are approximately 80 nucleotides in length. Their secondary structure includes four short double-helical elements and three loops (D, anti-codon, and T loops). Further hydrogen bonds mediate the characteristic L-shaped molecular structure. tRNAs have two regions of fundamental functional importance: the anti-codon, which is responsible for specific mRNA codon recognition, and the 3' end, to which the tRNAs corresponding amino acid is attached (by aminoacyl-tRNA synthetases). tRNAs cope with the degeneracy of the genetic code in two manners: having more than one tRNA (with a specific anti-codon) for a particular amino acid; and 'wobble' base-pairing, i.e. permitting non-standard base-pairing at the 3rd anti-codon position.
Source: RNAcentral